This 635-nucleotide ribosomal RNA is filed under the name uncultured fungus. Its description in RNAcentral is "eukaryotic LSU rRNA". The stretch from base 195 to 348 matches the Rfam family "5.8S ribosomal RNA". The record is from RNAcentral. Lineage: Eukaryota; Fungi.
AAGUCGUAACAAGGUUUCCGUAGGUGAACCUGCGGAAGGAUCAUUAAAGAAUACCGGCUUCGCAGCCAAUAUUCUCGCCCUCUGUAUACCAAACUUUGUUGCUUUGGCAGGCCCCUGGCUUCAGCUGGACUGUGCCUGCCAGAGGACCCCUAACUCUUGAAUGCCUGCUGUCUGAGUACUAUCUAAAUAGUUAAAACUUUCAACAACGGAUCUCUUGGUUCUGGCAUCGAUGAAGAACGCAGCGAAAUGCGAUAAGUAAUGUGAAUUGCAGAAUUCAGUGAAUCAUCGAAUCUUUGAACGCACAUUGCGCUCCCUGGUAUUCCGGGGAGCAUGCCUGUUCGAGCGUCAUGAAAACAAUCAACACCUUGACUUUGGUUUCAUUACCAUGGACUUGGAUUGGACUUUGGGUGUUUGCCGGUCUCACGAUCGGCUCACCUUAAAUGAAUUAGCUGGACUUGUUUGUGAGGACUGGUUUGACUUGGCGUAAUAAGUAUUUCGCCAAGGACAUUGCUUUGGUAAUGGCCAGCCUCUCAACGACUGUCUGCUUUCUAACUCUUGUGUUCAGUCUCAUGAUGUUGACACUUUUUCUCUCAUGAUCUGGCCUCAAAUCAGGUAGGACUACCCGCUGAACUUAA